Molecule: long non-coding RNA, 460 nt
Filed under: Erythranthe guttata (spotted monkey flower)
Lineage: Eukaryota; Viridiplantae; Streptophyta; Magnoliopsida; Lamiales; Phrymaceae
Description: long non-coding RNA (EGUT_LNC001249)
Source: RNAcentral
UCAAGGAUAUAGCUUCGUCGGCGAGCCAGGUAACAUUCUCCGGCGAAAUAAUAACAUCACCAUCCAUCUCCGAUAAUUGGUCCACUACAUCUCCUCGGCGGCCCAAAUUCAGUUCAAAUAAAAUGUCUUCAAAUCCUAUUUUGCUCAUAGAUCCAUAGAAGAUGGGGAUGAGGUUAGGAUCUUUGACGUCGGAGGAGCAGAGGCAGAGAUGGUGAUUUCUUAAAAAGAAAAAUUGGGGAAUAUUUGUUUUAUACUGCUAUGGUCGAACACUCGGUCGGCGGACUAAGGAUGAAACGAGGUAGGUGACGGCGGCGCGUUGAAUUUAGUUUAGAGGUGGAAUCAAGGUGGGGAAGGUGGAGGUGGAGAUGAUUUGCAGGAGAUGGUGAUAUCUUAAAAAGAAAUUGGGGAAUAUUUGUUUUAUACUUCUAUGAUCGAAGACUCGAUCGGCAAACGAAGGAGG